AUGUUCCCCUUUAAUGUUUUAUCCUUUAUUCUAUGUUAAUCGAUCGCACUUCACAACUUCAUCAUAGCAUCAUCAGAGACAGACCAUCAAAACUAAAGUCACAGACCAUCUCUUUGCAUCACGACAUCAGGGGGAACAUGAUAUUUCCUCAAUCAUUUUUCUAUUUGAUCAUACGAAAGGUACUAAUAUUUUCCUUAAUUUGUAUCUUUGAUCUAUACUCCAAAUCUUUAGUUCCUUUACACAACGGUUGAUUGAAGAUGAAGGUUCAAGAAAAGGGGGAGAAAUUAUGGAAGAAUGGGUCCUGGAGGCCGAUGUGUGAUGCACGAUGUGAAUGCGGUGGCAACACGGGAGUGUGGCGCACAAGUAGUAAUUACCAAUAUAUGUUUACCGAUAUACUAAAAACCAUAAAGAUAUAAAAUGAAACCAAAUGUAACAGUCAUUAAACCAAUUCUAAUGGUAAUCAGUUAACCAAAAUGCAAAAACCCAGAAUGUAAUAAUAGAGAAUAGAAGGUUAACUAAAUGAAUAUCACAAAAGAUGUGGGAAUAGGAAGAGUGGAAGACGAAUAGAUAAAAAGAGAGGAGAAAAAGAUUGUUUUGCGACCAGUAUGUCGUGUGUGCCUCUUUGUAUUCUAGUAGUUGUACGCAGAUAUCUAGGUAAGAAGUAGGGCCGACCAUACUUAAUUAACAAUUGCAUGAGCUUUUUUGAUUAUAUAAAUAUCAUUAAAAUACUUGGGCCAGACCAUGCUGCACCAAAGCAUAAUGCAUUGGUUUCCCUUUGAUCCGCACACAUUGCCUGGCAACAUGUAGGUCGCAUCGCCCCACAUGUAUGUUGCUAAUAUAUCAUCGCAUCGCAUCGCAUCACCGCAUGAAGCAUGUUUUUUUUAAACCAACAUAAUGUCUAGAGUAAACUACACGAAAGGUCCCUAUGGUUUAGGGUGAUUUGCAUGUUUGGUCCUAUGGUUACACAUUUGGUCCUAUCUUACCUAAAAAGACUAUGUUGCCCUCAAUUUUUAAUUUAUUUAAAUAAACACACCCCAAUGCCACUCCUCUUACCUUACCUUACCUACCCACCAUUUUUCUCUAUUUAAAUAAUAGUCUUUUUAGGUAAGACAUGGACGAAGUGCGUAACAAAAACAAACAGUAGGGACUUUCCGAGUUAAAAAAAUAAGUUAAGGACCAAACAUACAAAUUACCCCAAACCAUAGGGACCAUUCGUGUAAUUUACUCUAAUAUAUAAGUGGAGGUUUUAACUUCUUUAUGAAAAAUUAAUAGGUUGGAAUUGUGAGCUAUGUUAGGGUGUGGGAACCAAGAAAGUUGUAAUUAAACCUUAAUCCACCACUUUGUCGUUAGAUUCACCACCAUGCACAAUUUUUUCCCAAGAAAGAAUAUUGGCCCUCUCUCUCGCUUCCUCUCUCUUACUCUAUGUGUGUAUUUUUAACUAUGUGUGUGUUUGUGUUUACAUGCAUGAAAGGGGGAAAUCAUCAAUCCAAGAGACAAUAUGAAUGGUAAGAUAUGUUUUUCUUUAUGUUUUUUAUUUAUACGAGUAAAGUGGAAUCAUACAGUAAGUUUCUUCUUUUCUUCUCCUUUUGGUGAUUUAAUUUGAUUAAAAAAAUUGAUGUUUUUGUAUUCAUAUAAUGUUGUGAAUGUGAGCUUCUAAAUUGCAAAAACCAUCCUGAAGGUUUGAUUUGAGAACUUAUUUUGAUUGUUUGUUUUCUUUAAAUAUUUCUAUCAAUUGUUAAUAUGAUUGUUUGUUCUCUUUACAUGAAACUCAUCUAUCCUCUUAUUUGAUGCAAGAUUAGUUGAUCAAUGUCAUUAAGCAUCACUUUUAGAUAGAAGGGUAAAAUUGUUGUGUACUUUCAUUCAUACAGGUCAAUUAAUCCAAAAAAUAAACAAUUUAAGUGGUGGAUUUUAAGAACAAUUAAUACCAUUAGUUCUUUUUUAUGUUGCUUGUUUGAUUAUAAAACAUACUCUAACAUUAUGUAUGCUAAAGUUCAUAGAUGGAUUGUGCUAAAGUUAGUAAUUUUGGCAUAAUGUUUGUUGUUUGUGACUUUAUUCUAUAUGUUGAGUUUUUGUUUUCAGCCAUCGAAUGGGUAAAAGGAAAACAGAUGGAAGAAGUUCCCUAUACUAAGAACAUUUGAGUUUAAAAUUAUUUUCUUUCACUUAAUAGUCAUUUUAACUUAUAAAUGUAUGGUACACUGAUGUUUAAGGAAACCAUCAGCUAAAUUUAGGAUUUUUGAUAUAUAACAAUAUAGACUCCAUGAUGAUAAUGGUUGUUGGUUGCA
This is a non-coding RNA of Lactuca sativa (garden lettuce), 2282 nucleotides long. Lineage: Eukaryota; Viridiplantae; Streptophyta; Magnoliopsida; Asterales; Asteraceae. The record is from RefSeq and is a predicted model, not a curated record.